AUGUUAACAUGGUAUCAUUCACUUGUUUCUGAUCAUCCAUGCUUCCCUGAGCGUCGAAGUUCGAUUCAUCUCAUUCAUCUCUUCGUUUUCCCUCUUCUUGCAAAAGCUUCAAGGUUUGUUAAUGGAGUCUGGAAAUCAAGAAUCGAUGAUCAAAGAUUCAGCUCAACUGUAAGACGCCUCUAUGAUGUUUUCUUCGAAGAAAUCCAACAACUCCUUUGGACCAAAACUCUUUAUCAAGAUGCAAGAGAACAACUACCUGUUAUGGAAUCAAUAGGUUAA
Molecule: non-coding RNA, 279 nt
Organism: Vicia faba (fava bean)
Lineage: Eukaryota; Viridiplantae; Streptophyta; Magnoliopsida; Fabales; Fabaceae
Source: the annotation of a GenBank genome assembly